Molecule: ribosomal RNA, 114 nt
Filed under: Cordylochernes scorpioides
Lineage: Eukaryota; Metazoa; Arthropoda; Arachnida; Pseudoscorpiones; Chernetidae
Source: RNAcentral
ACGGCCAUACCACAUUGAAAACACCGGUUCUCGUCCGAUCACCGAAGUUAAGCAAUGUCAGGCCUGGUCAGUACUUGGGAGGGUGACCACCUAGGAACACCGGGUGUUGUACCA